RNAcentral lists this ribosomal RNA (440 nucleotides) under uncultured bacterium. RNAcentral describes it as "partial 16S ribosomal RNA". It matches the Rfam family "Bacterial small subunit ribosomal RNA", at positions 338 to 795 of the family's 1533-position model. The record is from RNAcentral.
CCUACGGGUGGCAGCAGUGGGGAAUAUUGCACAAUGGGGGAAACCCUGAUGCAGCGACGCCGCGUGCGUGAAGAAGUCUCUCGGUACGUAAAGCUCUAUCAGCAGGGAAGAAAAUGACGGUACCUGACUAAGAAGCCCCGGCUAACUACGUGCCAGCAGCCGCGGUAAUACGUAGGGGGCAAGCGUUAUCCGGAUUUACUGGGUGUAAAGGGAGCGUAGACGGCAGCACAAGUCUGGAGUGAAAUCCCGGGGCUUAACCCCGGAACUGCGGUGGAAACUGUGCGGCUGGAGUGCAGGAGGGGUAGGCGGAAUUCGUAGUGUAGCGGUGAAAUGCGUAGAUAUUAGGAGGAACACCGGUGGCGAAGGCGGCUUACUGGAGUGUAACUGACGUUGAGGCUCGAAAGCGCGGGGAGCGAACAGGAUUAGAUACCCUUGUAGUC